Long non-coding RNA from Polypterus senegalus (gray bichir), 436 nucleotides. RefSeq lists it as uncharacterized. NCBI's taxonomy places the organism in Eukaryota, Metazoa, Chordata, Cladistia, Polypteriformes, Polypteridae. The record is from RefSeq and is a predicted model, not a curated record. The transcript is spliced from 2 exons.
CAUUGCUUUCAACAUCCGCUAGAUUAGAAUUUGAGAAUAAAUGGAACAGGAGCCACUGAGUUGAGAUGAUCAGAGGCAGUAUAGAGGGCCACCAUCAUACAUUAAUCUAUCUGAAGUGCAAUGGGAUAAGAUUCAUUGGCUGAGAGACCAGUUAUGGCGCCUGGUCCUGAUGAUGUCACUUCCUUUUCCACCCUCUGCUGAUGACAUCAAUUCUGGGUCCGAGAUCCACUUAUAACACGACUUUCGGUUCCGGCCUUAAUGACAUCACUUCUGGUUCUGGUCCUACAGAUGACGUCACUUCCUCCGAUCCCUUUUAAACCUGCCAUCUUUGCACCAACAAGGCAGUUAGGUUCUGGACUUAAACCUGUACAACUCUGUACUUGAAAAUCUCUCCAUUGCAGCCAGGAACAAUAUACAGGUGGCUGCCCCAAACCUC